RNAcentral lists this transfer RNA (77 nucleotides) under Methanobacterium sp. RNAcentral's name for it is "tRNA-Met". It matches the Rfam family "tRNA". From Rfam's summary of the family: Transfer RNA (tRNA) molecules are approximately 80 nucleotides in length. RNAcentral also lists the same sequence under 7 other names. Lineage: Archaea; Methanobacteriati; Methanobacteriota; Methanobacteria; Methanobacteriales; Methanobacteriaceae. The record is from RNAcentral.
GGCGACGUAGCUCAGCUGGUUAGAGCGGCGGAAUCAUAAUCCGUAGGUCCGGGGUUCGAGUCCCUGCGUCGCCACCA